RNAcentral lists this ribosomal RNA (229 nucleotides) under uncultured bacterium. Its description in RNAcentral is "partial 16S ribosomal RNA". It matches the Rfam family "Bacterial small subunit ribosomal RNA", at positions 568 to 796 of the family's 1533-position model. The record is from RNAcentral.
UGCGUAGGCGGCGUCGUAAGUCAGAAGUGGAAGCUCACAGCUUAACUGUGAAAUUGCUUUUGAUACUGCGGUGCUUGAAUUAGGUUGAGGUUAGCGGAAUGUGACAUGUAGCGGUGAAAUGCAUAGAUAUGUCAUAGAACACCAAUUGCGAAGGCAGCUGGCUAGGCCUAUAUUGACGCUCAGGCACGAAAGCGUGGGGAGCGAACAGGAUUAGAUACCCUGGUAGUCC